CCUACGGGAGGCUGCAGUGGGGAAUAUUGCACAAUGGGGGGAACCCUGAUGCAGCAACGCCGCGUGGGUGAAGAAGUACUUCGGUAUGUAAAGCCCUGUCAGCAGGGAAGAAAAUGACGGUACCUGACCAAGAAGCCCCGGCUAACUACGUGCCAGCAGCCGCGGUAAUACGUAGGGGGCAAGCGUUAUCCGGAUUUACUGGGUGUAAAGGGAGCGUAGACGGCAAGGCAAGUCUGGCGUGAAAGCCCGUGGCUCAACCACGGGACUGCUUUGGAAACUGUGUUGCUGGAGUGCAGGAGAGGUAAGCGGAAUGCCUAGUGUAGCGGUGAAAUGCGUAGAUAUUAGGAAGAACACCGGUGGCGAAGGCGGCUUACUGGACUGUAACUGACGUUGAGGCUCGAAGGCGUGGGGAGCAAACAGGAUUAGAUACCCUAGUAGUC
Molecule: ribosomal RNA, 440 nt
Filed under: uncultured bacterium
Lineage: Bacteria
Description: partial 16S ribosomal RNA
Rfam family: Bacterial small subunit ribosomal RNA
Source: RNAcentral